RNAcentral lists this long non-coding RNA (494 nucleotides) under Dromaius novaehollandiae (emu). RNAcentral's name for it is "lncRNA (ENSDNVG00000002709.1)". Lineage: Eukaryota; Metazoa; Chordata; Aves; Casuariiformes; Dromaiidae. The record is from RNAcentral.
AAGCUCAAUUUUACCAAUUUCUUUUAGGUGCAAAACAGCCCACAGACCUCUGCAUAAACCAUUUUCCCUUUGUCAGCAUAUCAGAAGCUGGAGGAGUGUGAACACAGACAGGUGGUCCUCGCCUUGGAAGAGCUUCUCACAUGUGCUGACAGYGAGGCUGUAGAGCAAGUUUUUCUUGAUUUCAUGGUACAGAUUUCAAGGCUGCUUCCUGCAGGGCUGUCCAGUGUGAAUGUGAUCCCCCUAUUCACCUGUAGAGCUGUUCUGAAGUCUUCAUGAGAAGUGAGAGCCAAGCAGUGCCUAGAAGUGGUUUUAAAAGAUGCAGAUCAGCCACUGCCCCCGCCCUUUCCUCUUCAAGAUCUAUGUUCUGUUUACUGGAAAAUAGUUGGCGGUCAGUCACAGGAUGCACCACACUGCAUUCCUCUUCUGACAUGUGGAACUUGUUUGGUACCAUAAUGCAGCAGCUGGAGACACUUUUCUUAGAGCAGAGCUCAUGA